GUGUCAGCAGCCGCGGUAACACGGGGGGAGCAAGCGUUGUUCGGAAUCACUGGGCGUAAAGGGCGUGUAGGCGGUCAAGUAAGUGGGAUGUGAAAUGCCCCGGCUCACCCGGGGACCGGCAUCCCAUACUGCUUGGCUUGAGUACGGGAGAGGAUGUGGGAAUUCCUGGUGUAGCGGUGAAAUGCGUAGAUAUCAGGAGGAACACCGGUGGCGAAAGCGCACAUCUGGCCCGAUACUGACGCUGAUGCGCGAAAGCUAGGGGAGCAAACGGGAUUAGAUACCCGUGUAGUCC
RNAcentral lists this ribosomal RNA (292 nucleotides) under uncultured bacterium. Its description in RNAcentral is "partial 16S ribosomal RNA". It matches the Rfam family "Bacterial small subunit ribosomal RNA", at positions 505 to 796 of the family's 1533-position model. The record is from RNAcentral.